RNAcentral lists this ribosomal RNA (902 nucleotides) under human gut metagenome. RNAcentral's name for it is "bacterial SSU rRNA". It matches the Rfam family "Bacterial small subunit ribosomal RNA", at positions 8 to 900 of the family's 1533-position model. The record is from RNAcentral.
AGAGUUUGAUCCUGGCUCAGGAUGAACGCUAGCUACAGGCUUAACACAUGCAAGUCGUGGGGCAGCAUGGGAGAUGCUUGCAUUUCCUGAUGGCGACCGGCGCACGGGUGAGUAACGCGUAUCCAACCUGCCCCUUACUCCGGCACAGCCCGUCGAAAGGCGGAUUAAUGCGGGAUGCAGUCAGAGAGAUGCAUAUAUGUCUGACGAAAGGAUUCGUCCGGUAAGGGAUGGGGAUGCGUCCGAUUAGCUUGACGGCGGGGUAACGGCCCACCGUGGCUACGAUCGGUAGGGGUUCUGAGAGGAAGGUCCCCCACAUUGGAACUGAGACACGGUCCAAACUCCUACGGGAGGCAGCAGUGAGGAAUAUUGGUCAAUGGGCGAGAGCCUGAACCAGCCAAGUAGCGUGCAGGAAGACGGCCCUAUGGGUUGUAAACUGCUUUUGUACGGGAAUAAAGUUGGCCACGUGUGACCAUUUGCAUGUACCGUACGAAUAAGGACCGGCUAAUUCCGUGCCAGCAGCCGCGGUAAUACGGAAGGUCCGGGCGUUAUCCGGAUUUAUUGGGUUUAAAGGGAGCGUAGGCCGUCUCAAAAGCGUGUUGUGAAAUGUCCCGGCUCAACCGGGGAUGUGCAGCGCGAACUGUGAGACUUGAGUGUGCGGAAGGUAUGCGGAAUUCGUGGUGUAGCGGUGAAAUGCAUAGAUAUCACGAAGAACUCCGAUUGCGAAGGCAGCAUGCCGCAGCACCACUGACGCUGAUGCUCGAAGGUGCGGGUAUCGAACAGGAUUAGAUACCCUGGUAGUCCGCACAGUAAACGAUGGAUGCUCGCUGUGAGUCAGUUGUGAUUUGCGGCCAAGCGAAAGCGUUAAGCAUCCCACCUGGGGAGUACGCCGGCAACGGUGAAAC